CGGCGUGUAGCUCAUCGGAAGAGCGCCGGGCUCGGACCCGGAGGAGCGGGAUCAACACCUGCCACGCCGG
Molecule: transfer RNA, 70 nt
Filed under: Arachnia propionica
Lineage: Bacteria; Bacillati; Actinomycetota; Actinomycetes; Propionibacteriales; Propionibacteriaceae
Description: Pseudopropionibacterium propionicum tRNA-OTHER
Rfam family: tRNA
About the family: Transfer RNA (tRNA) molecules are approximately 80 nucleotides in length. Their secondary structure includes four short double-helical elements and three loops (D, anti-codon, and T loops).
Source: RNAcentral